AUAAUUAGGGCUUCUUUUAUUUUCAAGCUUGAUUGAAUAAUUAAUAACAACUAGAAGCCCAGCAUUUUCUUGAGGCAAACUCUCUCUACCUCGACAACAUGCAACCAAGUUAUUGGAGAUUAUCCAUUCUGAUGUUUGUAGACCUAUGAGGAUGCCAUCAAUAGGAGGUGCAAGGUAUUUUUUUACAUUCAUUGAUGACUUUCAAGAAAAGUAUUGUAGAAUAAGUAGUUAUUUUCAGAAUGUAGAUACCUAGUAUAUAGUAUAAACAGGGAUAGAUAACUGCUGAAAAGGUGGUUCAGCAGGUAGAAUGGAUGAAUAGUCAGGAAAAGUAGUUAUCAUCUGUAGUAUAGGAGUUGGUAUCUCGGGAUAGUAUAAAGAGGAUGGAAGAGGGGAAGAAAAUGCCAGACUGUGAGAGUUGUGAGCCGGGAUAAGCUUGGUGCUACCACUUUUCUUUUGUUUGUUAUUUUUUUUGAAUAAGAGGAUUGAAAGUUUUUGAAUAUUGUGAAGUGAAUUAUGGAAUGGAAAUGUGAUUGGUAUUAUUUGAGAAGAAGAAAGCUUGAAUGCUAAAAUCUGAUUGUAGUUCAGCAGAGAGAAUGAGUCUGUAUUUGUAUGAAACACUGUAAUGUGAAUGGCAGUUCUGUAUAAAGAAUUCCAGUGAUUGGAAUGAGGAUAAUUGUGUGCUG
This 683-nucleotide long non-coding RNA is filed under the name Physcomitrium patens. Its description in RNAcentral is "long non-coding RNA (PPAT_LNC007697)". Lineage: Eukaryota; Viridiplantae; Streptophyta; Bryopsida; Funariales; Funariaceae. The record is from RNAcentral.